Molecule: ribosomal RNA, 254 nt
Filed under: uncultured bacterium
Lineage: Bacteria
Description: partial 16S ribosomal RNA
Rfam family: Bacterial small subunit ribosomal RNA
Source: RNAcentral
UACGGGGGGUGCGAGCGUUGUCCGGAAUCACUGGGCGUAAAGGGCGCGUAGGUGGUUUGAUAAGGGUGUGGUGAAAGUCCGGAGCUCAACUCCGGAUCUGCCGUGCCGACUGUCAAACUCGAGGGCUGUAGAGGCAGACGGAAUUCCGGGUGUAGCGGUGGAAUGCGUAGAGAUCCGGAGGAAGACCGGUGGCGAAGGCGGGUCUCUGGGCCGAUACUGACGGCUGAGGAGCGAAAGCGUGGGGAGCAAACAGG